ACGCACAGUGAACACCCAAGUGUGCUUUGUAGUUCCCUUGGUUUUGACUCUGUGCUAGAGUAAUGUCUGUUCUUUCCCUCUGCGUUGAAAGGACUGUUUUUUCCUUUUAAAUGUAUUCAGAAAGACAGCACAUAU
Fukomys damarensis (Damara mole-rat) is the source of this 135-nucleotide non-coding RNA. Lineage: Eukaryota; Metazoa; Chordata; Mammalia; Rodentia; Bathyergidae. The record is from Rfam.